AACGCACAUUGCGCCCGCCAGCAUUCUGGCGGGCAUGCCUGUUCGAGCGUCAUUUCAACCCCUCGGGCCCCUUGGCCGCCCGGUGUUGGGGGACUACUUCAGGUAGCCCCCGAAAGGCAGUGGCGGAGCCGGCCCCGGCCCCGGACGUAGUACGAAACUCCUCGUCCGCGGCAGGUCCGGCGUCCCGCCGUGAAACCCCCUAUCUUCUAUGGUUGACCUCGGAUCAGGUAGGACUACCCGCUGAACUUAA
Molecule: unclassified non-coding RNA, 250 nt
Filed under: uncultured Xylariales
Lineage: Eukaryota; Fungi; Ascomycota; Sordariomycetes; Xylariales
Description: sequence contains 5.8S rRNA gene, ITS2, 28S rRNA gene
Source: RNAcentral